This 972-nucleotide ribosomal RNA is filed under the name uncultured archaeon. RNAcentral describes it as "bacterial SSU rRNA". It matches the Rfam family "Archaeal small subunit ribosomal RNA", at positions 85 to 1058 of the family's 1478-position model. The record is from RNAcentral.
ACUGCUCAGUAACACGUGGACAACCUGCCCUUAGGUUGGGUAUAAACCCGGGAAACUGGGUAUAAUACCCGAUAGGUCUCGACUGCUGGAAUGCAUCGAGAUUUAAAGCUCCGGCGCCUAAGGAUGGGUCUGCGGCCUAUCAGGUAGUAGUGGGUGUAGCGUACCUACUAGCCUACGACGGGUACGGGUUGUGAGAGCAAGAGCCCGGAGAUGGAUUCUGAGACACGAAUCCAGGCCCUACGGGGUGCAGCAGGCGCGAAAACUUUACAAUGCUGGCAACAGCGAUAAGGGAACCUCGAGUGCCAGGUUACAAAUCUGGCUGUCGAGAUGCCUAAAAAGCAUUUCAUAGCAAGGGCCGGGCAAGACCGGUGCCAGCCGCCGCGGUAACACCGGCGGCUCGAGUGGUAACCGUUAUUAUUGGGUCUAAAGGGUCUGUAGCCGGCCGGAUAAGUCUCUUGAGAAAUCUGGCAGCUUAACUGUCAGGCUUUCAGGAGAUACUGUCUGGCUCGAGGCCGGGAGAGGUGAGAGGUACUUCAGGGGUAGGGGUGAAAUCUUGUAAUCCUUGAAGGACCACCAGUGGCGAAGGCGUCUCACCAGAACGGACCUGACGGCAAGGGACGAAAGCUAGGGGCACGAACCGGAUUAGAUACCCGGGUAGUCCUAGCCGUAAACGAUACUCGCUAGGUGUCGGCCACGGUGCGACCGUUGUCGGUGCCGUAGGGAAGCCGUGAAGCGAGCCACCUGGGAAGUACGGCCGCAAGGCUGAAACUUAAAGGAAUUGGCGGGGGAGCACCACAACGGGUGGAGCUUGCGGUUUAAUUGGAUUCAACGCCGGAAAUCUUACCGGGACCGACAGCAAUAUGAAGGCCAGGCUGAAGACUUUGCCGGAUUAGCUGAGAGGUGGUGCAUGGCCGUCGUCAGUUCGUACUGUGAAGCAUCCUGUUAAGUCAGGCAACGAGCGAGACCCCCACC